CCAGACUCCUACGGGAGGCAGCAGUGGGGGAUAUUGCACAAUGGGGGAACCCUGAUGCAGCGACGCCGCGUGGGUGAAGAAGCGCCUCGGCGCGUAAAGCCCUGUCAGCAGGGAAGAAAAUGACGGUACCUGAAGAAGAAGCCCCGGCUAACUACGUGCCAGCAGCCGCGGUAAUACGUAGGGGGCAAGCGUUAUCCGGAUUUACUGGGUGUAAAGGGGGCGCAGACGGCGAUGCAAGCCAGGAGUGAAAGCCCGGGGCCCAACCCCGGGACUGCUCUUGGAACUGCGUGGCUGGAGUGGGCGAGAAGUGCGCGGAAUGCGUGGUGUAGCGGUGAAAUGCAUAGAUAUCACGCAGAACUCCGAUUGCGAAGGCAGCGCACCGGCGCCCUACUGACGCUCAGGCACGAAAGCGUGGGUAUCGAACAGGAUUAGAUACCCGAGUA
Molecule: ribosomal RNA, 443 nt
Filed under: uncultured bacterium
Lineage: Bacteria
Description: partial 16S ribosomal RNA
Rfam family: Bacterial small subunit ribosomal RNA
Source: RNAcentral